Molecule: microRNA precursor, 180 nt
Organism: Gossypium arboreum
Lineage: Eukaryota; Viridiplantae; Streptophyta; Magnoliopsida; Malvales; Malvaceae
Source: Rfam
CUAUAUGUGAUACAGCCAAGGAUGACUUGCCGGCUCACUUCCACUUAACAUAAAUCAUGCUCUCUAAAUAAGCAGCUAAAAGUUAGAUCACAAAGCUAAAACCUAUAUAUGUUGUCAUCAAUUAAUUUAUAAUAAAUGUUAAUUGAUCGGCAAGUCAUCUGUGGCUAUAUCAUUGUCUCA